CCCUAGAAGAUUGGACAAGGACAAGAGGAGAAGAUCUUACAAAUCUCACAGAGCUAGCAAUUAUACAAGUUUCAAGUGACCUUGGGAUAUCUAAGUUUUUCAAGAGUCCUUCCUGUAUCAGAAAUGGAAUGUUUUAUCAACCAGAAAACCUUGGUUGGAAAAGAGAUUGCCCUGUAACAACAGAACUUCCUGAACUUCACCCAGGAAUGACAUGUGUCUUAUUAUCUUCAUGUACCGAAGUGGACUGUUGCAUAGAUGUUGAUAUGUUUCAUCAUUCAUUUAAUCUUGUCUUGAGACUGGAUCCAUGUGAUGAAAAAUUAAUUGUUGGGAUUGAAAAUUUUGUUUUUGCAAUAUCUCUUUAUGAAUUUGAUUGGGGAGUCCGCAAGAAACUAUAUUUGAAUAGUGUUAUAUGUAUGGAGUA
Long non-coding RNA from Mytilus californianus (California mussel), 421 nucleotides. RefSeq lists it as uncharacterized. NCBI's taxonomy places the organism in Eukaryota, Metazoa, Mollusca, Bivalvia, Mytilida, Mytilidae. The transcript is spliced from 3 exons. The record is from RefSeq and is a predicted model, not a curated record.